Molecule: unclassified non-coding RNA, 219 nt
Filed under: uncultured Thelephoraceae
Lineage: Eukaryota; Fungi; Basidiomycota; Agaricomycetes; Thelephorales; Thelephoraceae
Description: sequence contains ITS2
Source: RNAcentral
ACACCUCAACUCCCAUGGUUCGCCAUGGUGAGCUUGGACUUUGGGGGUUUUGCUGGCCCACGGUCGGCUCCUCUCAAAUGAAUCAGCCUGCCAGUGUUUGGUGGCAUCACGGGUGUGAUAAAUAUCUACGCUUGCGAUUGCCUACCAGGUAACCUCCAGCGAUGGGGGUUUGCUGGGGCUCAUAGACGUCUCUCCGUCAGCGAGGACAGCUUUUUUAAC